This is a long non-coding RNA of Lagopus muta (rock ptarmigan), 2288 nucleotides long. RefSeq lists it as uncharacterized. The transcript is spliced from 4 exons. The record is from RefSeq and is a predicted model, not a curated record. Lineage: Eukaryota; Metazoa; Chordata; Aves; Galliformes; Phasianidae.
UUUCUUUCUCUGUCUCCUGGAAAUUACAGAGGUAGGAGAAAUUCUGUUCCUCCAUUUCCGUUAAAAUAGACAGCAGUUGUUGGGGGUCAGUAAAAUACAGCUCAGGCUCCUGGAACAGAAAAUGUGUGAUAUUUAUAAAUAACUGCUUGUGUAGUGUUGCAGUAAGGCUAUAAGCAAGGUAAGGGCCUGUGCUGAUCCCAGCUGUUCUUUCUCUGCCCAUGUAAACAUAACUAUGUAAACCUGGAGGCUUUGUCCUCAGCUCAUCCUUGUUCUGCUGCUUUGAUUUGAAGAAGGUGCCCUAAAGCUUGCAUAUGUUAUUUAACAGCAUUGGUCAGUAUUGAAAAAAGUAUUUUUCUACAGAAAUGUUGCCUAAAUAACAUGUAAUUUGUAGCUCACUCUCAGAAAGAGAUGUUUCCAUGGUUUUUGGAACGUAGAAACCGUUCAAUAUCAAAAUAAAAUGUUUUUGUGACCCUUUUCUCUCUGUUCCAGAUGAAAAUAUAAAUCUGGGUGAGAGGAACGAGGGAAAUGCCCUCUGGUGCCUUUGCUUACUGGAGUUAUUUGUGGCUUUCCCCCAGCAGGACAGUCAGGCACGGCCCCCAAACACUGCUAUGUGACCCCAAUUAAAUGUGCUUACUUAGGGGAUAUUACUGAGCAGACCCUGGCCUAGUUUAAAGAAGUUCUGUCAUGCAGCAGAAUGGCUCACUGGUUUCUUAUGGCAGUGGCUGUGGGUGCUGAAAGAACACUUACUGAAGCUUUUGGGAGCCUGUCUUAUCUGAUCAUGGGCGGAAGACUAUGAACACAGACCUCUCUGACCAAAGAACAGAAAGCUGCUGGAGCAUCGUGACCUUACCUGACACAAGUCUUAUCUUUACAGGAAACUCCCUGUGUACCUAGGAUACUGCACAGGUCACUGAGCAGCCAUCUCCCCAUUGCCUGAAGUCUUCUCAAGGAGACUCAUUUGUUUAAGUUUUUCCACUUGGAUUUCUUCAAAGUGUGCCCUGAUACACACCACACAAAGGGAACAACCUAACUAACAGCAAGUGGCACAGAAACACCACAUGGAUUGGUGGUUAUUUUCUUUCUCUGGAGCUUUUGUUUUUCUUUUCCUGCUGAACAAUGCAUCUGCAGAACCCAGCGCAUCCCAAGAGGAAGAAAGGCAAAUCAGAGCCAGUUUCCAGGGUAGCACUCAAGGCAGAAGGAAGGGAUUGAGAUCCAUAGCACAUACAGUGUAAGUGCUCUACUGGAGGUGGCCAGCUCUGUCUGACUGUGGUCUGCCAACAGCACUGCUGCUUUCCCUUCAUCUGAAGCUUUCUUCAAGGAGGGAUUUUAUCUCAAGGUGAGUUUUCCAGCCACGAGGAGCACCAAGAAAAGCCUCUGGCUCUUGAAGGAGGAAUACCCCCAGAGACGGCUCUGCAAGAAGAGCUGCCAGCUCAGCUCUCCUCUUGGCAAACAGGCUGGUGGAGCAGGACUUAUUCAGGUCAUCCUGCCACUGGUCCUUACUCCCAGUGUCUUCCUGGGCUACCUCACCCAACAUGAAGACCAAAAGGCCUUCAGUGGUCCUUCCCAAAUGGUGUUGCUUUGUGGUUCAGCCAUCUCCAGCCAUGUUUGUGUGAGGCUCUGCUAGCUCCUGAUUCCAGGUCCAACCUCCUGCUCCAAGCAGGGCUAACUCAGGCUGCACGAGGCCUUUCCCAGCUGAUUUGAAAACCUCUGAGGAUGCAGAUUUCAGAUGUUCUCCAAAUUGCAGAAGGUAAGGUCUAGGAGGCUGAGCUUGGGCCCCUGAAUGGCCCCACUGCCUUGCUUUGGUAAUGAUAUAAGUAAACGAUAUUGUUACAAUUUCAAGGCCAGUUCUGAAGAACUGUUUAGCCCUAAUCCCAAAUCGAAAAAUAGUUCCAGCUUUCCCUCAAAGCUAAGUACAUUUGGGGCCUAGGAGUUUGCAUUUGGCCCACUGUAAAGAGAGUCACAGUGAGCUGAAGCCAAAGAGACUUGCCUAACCAAGGCUAUAAAUUCUUGCUAUUUGCAGGGACAAUUGACCCAGGAACACGAGGUUGCAACUCCGUGAUUUUACAUUAAGCUCUUAAGGCACCAUUCCAGCCGUUUUCCUGGCGCUUGCUUUGUGGCAAAACUACAGCUGCUGUGACUGCAUGGGAACCCAUCCAGCUGAAAAAUACCCUGCCCGAGGAAAAGAUCCUUUUAUUUUGCUCACCAUGAUGGGCUGAGGAAGAGACGCAUGGGAUGGUGGGAUUGCUUCUGUCAGUGCCAGUCUGUGCUCAGGGAGAUGGUGAAGCUGC